UACGUAGGGUGCAAGCGUUGUCCGGAAUUAUUGGGCGUAAAGAGCUCGUAGGCGGUUUGUCGCGUCUGCUGUGAAAACCGGAGGCUCAACCUCCGGCCUGCAGUGGGUACGGGCAGACUAGAGUGCGGUAGGGGAGAUUGGAAUUCCUGGUGUAGCGGUGGAAUGCGCAGAUAUCAGGAGGAACACCGAUGGCGAAGGCAGAUCUCUGGGCCGUAACUGACGCUGAGAAGCGAAAGCAUGGGGAGCGAACAGG
Molecule: ribosomal RNA, 253 nt
Filed under: uncultured bacterium
Lineage: Bacteria
Description: partial 16S ribosomal RNA
Rfam family: Bacterial small subunit ribosomal RNA
Source: RNAcentral